Molecule: unclassified non-coding RNA, 307 nt
Filed under: plant metagenome
Description: partial contains 5.8S ribosomal RNA, internal transcribed spacer 2, and large subunit ribosomal RNA
Rfam family: 5.8S ribosomal RNA (bases 1-105)
Source: RNAcentral
GAAAUGCGAUAAGUAAUGUCAAUUGCAGAAUUCAGUGAAUCAUCGAAUCUUAGAACGCACAUUGCGCCCGCCAGCACUCUGGCGGGCAUGCCUGUUCGAGCGUCAUUUCAACCCUCAGAACCCCUUGCGGGAUCUGGCGUUGGGGAUUGGCAUCCAGCCAGCCCCGAAAUCUAGUGGCGGUCCCUCCGCGACCUCCCCUGUGCAGUAGCGAUACCUCGCAGCGGGACAGCGGUCUGACCACGCCGUAAAACCCCCAACUUCUCAAGGUUGACCUCGAAUCAGGUAGGAAUACCCGCUGAACUUAAGC